GGCCCGGUAGCUCAGUUGGUUAGAGCAGGGAACUCAUAAUUCCUUGGUCGGGGGUUCAAGUCCCUCCCGGGCUA
This 74-nucleotide transfer RNA is filed under the name Symbiodinium sp. CCMP2456. It matches the Rfam family "tRNA". From Rfam's summary of the family: Transfer RNA (tRNA) molecules are approximately 80 nucleotides in length. Their secondary structure includes four short double-helical elements and three loops (D, anti-codon, and T loops). RNAcentral also lists the same sequence under 1 other name. Lineage: Eukaryota; Dinophyceae; Suessiales; Symbiodiniaceae. The record is from Rfam by way of RNAcentral.